UAUUGCACAAUGGAGGAAACUCUGAUGCAGCGACGCCGCGUGAGUGAAGAAGGUCUUCGGAUCGUCAAACUCUGUCCUUGGUGACGAAAAAAUGACGGUAGCCAAGGAGGAAGCCCCGGCUAACUACGUGCCAGCAGCCGCGGUAAUACGUAGGGGGCGAGCGUUGUCCGGAUUUACUGGGCGUAAAGGGUGAGGAGGCGGUAAUAUGUGUCAGAUGUAAAAGGCUAUGGCUUAACCAUAGUUGGCAUUUGAAACUGUAUUACUUGAGUGCAGUUGAGGUAAGUGGAAUUCCUAGUGUAACGGUGAAAUGCGUAGAUAGUAGGAGGAACACCAGUGGCGAAGGCGACUUACUGGACUGUAAC
RNAcentral lists this ribosomal RNA (362 nucleotides) under uncultured bacterium. Its description in RNAcentral is "bacterial SSU rRNA". It matches the Rfam family "Bacterial small subunit ribosomal RNA", at positions 362 to 740 of the family's 1533-position model. The record is from RNAcentral.